UGGGGAAUUUUGGACAAUGGACGCAAGUCUGAUCCAGCCAUGCCGCGUGCGGGAAGAAGGCCUUCGGGUUGUAAACCGCUUUUGUCAGGGAAGAAACGAGUUUCUCUAAUACAGAGACUUAAUGACGGCACCUGAAGAAUAAGCACCGGCUAACUACGUGCCAGCAGCCGCGGUAAUACGCAGGGUGCGAGCGUUAAUCGGAAUUACUGGGCGUAAAGCGUGCGCAGGCGGUUAUAUAAGACAGAUGUGAAAUCCCCGGGCUCAACCUGGGACCUGCAUUUGUGACUGUAUAGCUAGAGUACGGUAGAGGGGGAUGGAAUUCCGCGUGUAGCAGUGAAAUGCGUAGAUAUGCGGAGGAACACCGAUGGCGAAGGCAAUCCCCUGGGCCUGUACUGACGCUCAUGCACGAAAGCGUGGGGAGCAAACA
RNAcentral lists this ribosomal RNA (427 nucleotides) under uncultured bacterium. RNAcentral describes it as "bacterial SSU rRNA". It matches the Rfam family "Bacterial small subunit ribosomal RNA", at positions 355 to 774 of the family's 1533-position model. The record is from RNAcentral.